GGGUCCAUAGCUCAACCGGUAGAGCAGUAGCCUUUUAAGCUAUUGGUUGGGAGUUCGAGUCUCCCUGGACUCA
RNAcentral lists this transfer RNA (73 nucleotides) under Candidatus Roizmanbacteria bacterium RIFCSPHIGHO2_01_FULL_35_10. RNAcentral describes it as "tRNA-Lys". It matches the Rfam family "tRNA". From Rfam's summary of the family: Transfer RNA (tRNA) molecules are approximately 80 nucleotides in length. Their secondary structure includes four short double-helical elements and three loops (D, anti-codon, and T loops). Further hydrogen bonds mediate the characteristic L-shaped molecular structure. tRNAs have two regions of fundamental functional importance: the anti-codon, which is responsible for specific mRNA codon recognition, and the 3' end, to which the tRNAs corresponding amino acid is attached (by aminoacyl-tRNA synthetases). tRNAs cope with the degeneracy of the genetic code in two manners: having more than one tRNA (with a specific anti-codon) for a particular amino acid; and 'wobble' base-pairing, i.e. permitting non-standard base-pairing at the 3rd anti-codon position. The record is from RNAcentral. RNAcentral also lists the same sequence under 1 other name. Lineage: Bacteria; Candidatus Roizmaniibacteriota.